ACUCCUAUCUGCAUUUUCUGUUUGGGACUCUUUUAAACUCUUAAUUGAACUAUCAUUCUACUUCCUGUCUCUCCCUCCAGUCCUGCCACAUUUAUAUACAUCUUUCAUUUGUCUCCAUGGUGAUGCAUCUAAGAUGUAAAUGUGACUGUCAUUCCCCUGAAUAAGGCAAUGGUUUCCUAUUACUUCCACUAUGCACUCUAACCUGGAUCCUGCCUGCUCUGUUCUUACCUCUCACCACUUUGGACGCAGCUACUAAAGUUCCAGGAAGAUUAAACAACAUGUGGUUCAGUCUCUGAAACAUAUUUCUUCCUACUCUAUUCCGUAUGGCUCAUGCUAUUUUCUCUGCCUAGUAUACCUUUCCACCACUUCUUCCCUAACUUUGACGAAACCUGCUUGAGUGUCAUCUUUCCCAGGGGGUUCUUCAAGGGAUGCUGCCACCUUAUGAAGAAGCCUGGACCGACCGCUUCCAGAAUGAGAGGCUACAUGGAGUCAAGAUACACCAUUCUGGCUGAGGCUUCUUCCACCAACCACUUGACAGAACACCACUUUCUAAUCAUAUCCAUGGGUCCACAUUGCUCUAGUCCUGCCUUGCAGAUGCCCUAUAGAUGGAUGAACUUGGAAUCUACUUUGGAGAGAGACGCAGUGUUUGAUAAAAGUCAGAAAGCAUGCUGGCAUACAUUUACAUUGGAUGAAAUACAAAUUCCAUUUAGC
Bos taurus (domestic cattle) is the source of this 711-nucleotide long non-coding RNA. NCBI's taxonomy places the organism in Eukaryota, Metazoa, Chordata, Mammalia, Artiodactyla, Bovidae. The record is from Ensembl.